UGAAGUUCAAAUUUUGUUUCUGGGAAG
RNAcentral lists this non-coding RNA (27 nucleotides) under Mus musculus (house mouse). Lineage: Eukaryota; Metazoa; Chordata; Mammalia; Rodentia; Muridae. The record is from RNAcentral.